RNAcentral lists this ribosomal RNA (552 nucleotides) under Escherichia coli. RNAcentral describes it as "partial 23S ribosomal RNA". It matches the Rfam family "Bacterial large subunit ribosomal RNA", at positions 333 to 890 of the family's 2925-position model. Lineage: Bacteria; Pseudomonadati; Pseudomonadota; Gammaproteobacteria; Enterobacterales; Enterobacteriaceae. The record is from RNAcentral.
UGGAAGCGUCUGGAAAGGCGCGCGAUACAGGGUGACAGCCCCGUACACAAAAAUGCACAUGCUGUGAGCUCGAUGAGUAGGGCGGGACACGUGGUAUCCUGUCUGAAUAUGGGGGGACCAUCCUCCAAGGCUAAAUACUCCUGACUGACCGAUAGUGAACCAGUACCGUGAGGGAAAGGCGAAAAGAACCCCGGCGAGGGGAGUGAAAAAGAACCUGAAACCGUGUACGUACAAGCAGUGGGAGCACGCUUAGGCGUGUGACUGCGUACCUUUUGUAUAAUGGGUCAGCGACUUAUAUUCUGUAGCAAGGUUAACCGAAUAGGGGAGCCGAAGGGAAACCGAGUCUUAACUGGGCGUUAAGUUGCAGGGUAUAGACCCGAAACCCGGUGAUCUAGCCAUGGGCAGGUUGAAGGUUGGGUAACACUAACUGGAGGACCGAACCGACUAAUGUUGAAAAAUUAGCGGAUGACUUGUGGCUGGGGGUGAAAGGCCAAUCAAACCGGGAGAUAGCUGGUUCUCCCCGAAAGCUAUUUAGGUAGCGCCUCGUGAAUU